This 75-nucleotide transfer RNA is filed under the name Caudoviricetes sp. RNAcentral describes it as "tRNA-Asn". It matches the Rfam family "tRNA". Rfam says of the family: Transfer RNA (tRNA) molecules are approximately 80 nucleotides in length. Their secondary structure includes four short double-helical elements and three loops (D, anti-codon, and T loops). Lineage: Duplodnaviria; Heunggongvirae; Uroviricota; Caudoviricetes. The record is from RNAcentral.
GGGGGUGUAGCAUAGCGGCCUAGUGCACAGAGCUGUUAAACUCUGAUACGUCGGUUCGAAUCCGGCCACCGUCCA